Molecule: non-coding RNA, 45 nt
Filed under: Schistosoma haematobium
Lineage: Eukaryota; Metazoa; Platyhelminthes; Trematoda; Strigeidida; Schistosomatidae
Source: RNAcentral
AUCCGGCUGAUGAGUCCCAAAUACGACGAAACUCACGUCUUGGAU